UUUUGCUGUAAAGAAUGAAAAUAAAAAUAUCAAUUAAGCAUUGGUAAAUAUUCUGGAAAUGCUGGAGAUUCAUUAUCUUAUCAUAAAAGCAUGGCGUUUUCAACAAAAGAUUCAGAUAAUGAUAAUCGUUUUGGAAAUUGUGCCACAACCUUCAAUGGUGCUUGGUGGUAUAAGAGUUGUUAUGUUUCCAACCUGAAUGGACACUACUAUAGUGGCAACCAAAACAAUGUCAAAGGUGUGACUUGGCAACGAUGGAAAGUUAAUAAAUCCUUAAAGUUCACUGAGAUGAAAAUAAAACCAUAAAGAAUUUCCAAAGACUGUGAUGUUAUAAAUUUGAUCAUUAUUUCUAAUGAAACUUUCAACAUAUAGUAAAAACAUUUUAGCUUUUAUUUCUUUUAAAAGAACCUUUAUAAUCAUUAUCAUUUAAAAAAGCAUUGAAAAAUUGUUAAAAAUGCUAUGGUGAAAUAAUAUUUUCCCUAAAAAUUAGAGCUGAUUUAGGUAAUUAUAUGAUUCUAAUGUUA
Molecule: long non-coding RNA, 521 nt
Organism: Xenia sp. Carnegie-2017
Lineage: Eukaryota; Metazoa; Cnidaria; Anthozoa; Malacalcyonacea; Xeniidae
Exons: 2
Source: RefSeq, a predicted model, not a curated record